Dermochelys coriacea (leatherback sea turtle) is the source of this 1297-nucleotide long non-coding RNA. RefSeq lists it as uncharacterized. The transcript is spliced from 3 exons. Lineage: Eukaryota; Metazoa; Chordata; Testudines; Dermochelyidae. The record is from RefSeq and is a predicted model, not a curated record.
UACUGUGUCCAAUCCUGAAAUACUGUGUCCAGUUCUGGGGUCUACAAUUCAAGAGGGAUGUUGAUAAAUUGGAGAGGGUUCAGAGAAGAGCCAUGAGAUCGAAUGAGGGAUUAGGAAACAUGCCUUCUAGUGAUACACUCAAGGAGCAAACUCUGUUUAGCUUAACAAAGAGAAAGUUAAGUGAUGACUUGAUUAUAGUCUACAAGUUGCCACCUGGGGAACAAAAUAUUUAAUAAUGGGCUCUUCAGUCUAGCAGAGAAAGGUAUACCAGGAUCCAGUGGGUGGAAGCUGAAGCUAGACAAAUUCAGGCUGGAAAUAAGUUAUACAUUUUUAAUGGUGAGAGUAAUUAAUUUACCAAGCAAAGGUUGUGAUGAAUUCUCCAUCAUUGACAUUUUUUAAACCAAGCGUGGAUGUUUUUCUAAAAGAUGUGCUCUAGGAAUUAUUUGAGGGCAGUUCUGUCACCCAUGUUAUACAGGAGGUUAGACUAAUUUGAUCACAGUGGUCCCUUCUCUGAACGUAUGAAUCUCUCGAUGCACAUGGUGGCUCAUCAAGAAGGGAGAUUGUGAUGCAUCCUGAGAGAUGUAGUCUUGCCAGAGAGCCUGACCCACAGAGGAGAAUGGGGACUACAAUGUGCCCAAACUUUAACUCUCAUGAGAUACUUCUGAACAGACUUUUUUCAUUUUUUUUUGCUGAAAACUUGAAAUUUUCCAUACUCCACACCAUUUUCUGAUCUGCUCUAGCAAUAAGCUCUAGCUGACACAGACUUGUAUUUUUUUUAGAAGGGGACAAACAUUGGGUAUAAGUCUGAGAGUGAUAGGACUGUCGUCAGACUUUUUACCUACAGUCCCAGAAUAUUUGUAUGUUUCUGCCAAAAUGAUCAGCAGUGACAUAGUCAACAAUACAAGCCAUCAUCAUUAGGCUUCAGAAUUAACACCUGUUGAAACGAAUGUGGACAGUUCAGACUCAAAACUAUUGUAGUCUAAUUGUGAGAAUGUACAUUAUUUACCAAAUUGCCUGGAUUUGGGUACUUUUCAAAUAAUACAUUUUUAUUCUGUUAGACAAAAUAAUAAACCUUUCAGAAUCUUUAAUUUUUGUGCACCAAUUUCUGAUGUGAGAGAUGACUGUAGUGCCAUUGAAUGAGCUGUUGGGUGCAGGAUUGAGCCCAAAAGGCCUCCACAAAAGAUGAAUAAAUCAGCAUUUUCACUAUAUGAUCGAAUUUGUAUAGUAUGUAUUAGGAUGACCAGACAGCAAAUGUGAAAAAUCAGGAGAGGGGGUGGGGAGGUAAUAGGAGCCUAUA